This 497-nucleotide ribosomal RNA is filed under the name uncultured bacterium. RNAcentral's name for it is "partial 16S ribosomal RNA". It matches the Rfam family "Bacterial small subunit ribosomal RNA", at positions 28 to 507 of the family's 1533-position model. The record is from RNAcentral.
GACGAACGCUGGCGGCGUGCCUAAUACAUGCCAGUCGAACGAGAGAGACCGGUGCUUGCCCUGGUCAAUCUAGUGGCGAACGGGUGAGUAACACGUGGGUAACCUGCACUUCAGAGGGGGAUCACAUCCGAAACGGUUGUUAAAACUGCAUAGGUCUUCGAGCCGCAUGGCUUGUUGAGGAAAAGAGGCGCCAGAUUCUGCUGAUUCAUGGUACCUAGGUGGAUUAGCUAGUUGGUGGGGUAACGGCUCACCAAGGCUGUGAUGCGUAGCCGACCUGAGAGGAUGAUCAGCCACAUUGGAACUGAGACACGGCCCAGACUCCUACGGGAGGCAGCAGUAGGGAAUCUUCGACAAUGGGCGCAAGUCUGACGGAGCAACGCCGCGUGAGUGAAGAAGGUUUUCGGAUCGUAAAGCACUGUUGGUAGGGAAGAACAGGUGCUAGAGUAACUGUUGGCGUCUUGACGGUAUCUAACCAAAAAGCCACGGCUAACUACGUG